CCCAAGGGGAAUUCCUUAGUAACGGGCGAGUGAAGCGGUAAAAGCUCAAAUUUGAAAUCUGGUACUUUCAGUGCCCGAGUUGUAAUUUGUAGAAUUUGUCUUUGAUUAAGUCCUUGUCUAUGUUCCUUGGAACAGGACGUCAUAGAGGGUGAGAAUCCCGUUUGGCGAGGAUACCUUUUCUCUGUAAGACUUUUUCGAAGAGUCGAGUUGUUUGGGAAUGCAGCUCAAAGUGGGUGGUAAAUUCCAUCUAAAGCUAAAUAUUGGCGAGAGACCGAUAGCGAACAAGUACAGUGAUGGAAAGAUGAAAAGAACUUUGAAAAGAGAGUGAAAAAGUACGUGAAAUUGUUGAAAGGGAAGGGCAUUUGAUCAGACAUGGUGUUUUUUGCAUGCACUCCCCUCUGGUGGGCUUGGGCCUCUCACAAAUUUCACUGGGCCAACAUCAAUUCUGGCAGCAUGAUAAAUCAUUAAGAAUGUAGCUACUUCGGUAGUGUUAUAGCUUUUUGGAAUACUGUUAGCCGGGAUUGAGGACUGCGCUUCGGCAAGGAUGUUGGCAUAAUGGUUAAAUGCCGCCCGUCUUGAAACACGGACCAA
RNAcentral lists this ribosomal RNA (591 nucleotides) under Hanseniaspora uvarum. RNAcentral describes it as "partial large subunit ribosomal RNA". It matches the Rfam family "Eukaryotic large subunit ribosomal RNA", at positions 65 to 669 of the family's 3401-position model. Lineage: Eukaryota; Fungi; Ascomycota; Saccharomycetes; Saccharomycodales; Saccharomycodaceae. The record is from RNAcentral.